UUACACAUAACAAUGCAAACAUAAACACACACAACACAAUGGAAAAACUCUCUUCGCUUCGACUGUUACGCUUAUCGCCCCCGUUGCGAGCAUAGUUUCAUCGUAUUGAAGAAAGUUCACUAUCCACUUUGCCCGCACGCUUACCUUGCGGGCUUUUUUUAUUCUGC
RNAcentral lists this non-coding RNA (167 nucleotides) under Targowskia paracuniculus. Its description in RNAcentral is "Haemophilus paracuniculus Actinobacillus sRNA 14". It matches the Rfam family "Actinobacillus sRNA 14". Rfam says of the family: Arrc stands for Actinobacillus pleuropneumoniae Regulatory RNA Candidate. Lineage: Bacteria; Pseudomonadati; Pseudomonadota; Gammaproteobacteria; Pasteurellales; Pasteurellaceae. The record is from Rfam by way of RNAcentral.